GACGUAGGGCGCGAGCGUUGUCCGGAUUUAUUGGGCGUAAAGAGCUCGUAGGCGGCUUGUUGCGUCGGCUGUGAAAACCCGCGGCUUAACCGCGGGCCUGCAGCCGAUACGGGCAGGCUAGAGUUCGGUAGGGGAGACUGGAAUUCCUGGUGUAGCGGUGAAAUGCGCAGAUAUCAGGAGGAACACCGAUGGCGAAGGCAGCUCGCUGGGACGGUACUGACGCUGAGACGCGAAAGCGUGGGGAGCAAACGGG
Molecule: ribosomal RNA, 253 nt
Filed under: uncultured bacterium
Lineage: Bacteria
Description: partial 16S ribosomal RNA
Rfam family: Bacterial small subunit ribosomal RNA
Source: RNAcentral